GGCCUUCGGGUGCCGACGAGUGGCGAACGGGUGAGUAAUAUAUCGGAACGUACCUUUCAGUGGGGGAUAACGUAGCGAAAGUUACGCUAAUACCGCAUAUUCUGUGAGCAGGAAAGCAGGGGACCUUCGGGCCUUGCGCUGAUUGAGCGGCCGAUAUCAGAUUAGCUAGUUGGUGAGGUAAAGGCUCACCAAGGCGACGAUCUGUAGCGGGUCUGAGAGGAUGAUCCGCCACACUGGAACUGAGACACGGUCCAGACUCCUACGGGAGGCAGCAGUGGGAAUUUUGGACAAUGGGGGAAACCCUGAUCCAGCCAUGCCGCGUGAGUGAAGAAGGCCUUCGGGUUGUAAAGCUCUUUCGGCCGGGAAGAAAUCGUAUGGGCUAAUACCCUGUGCGGAUGACGGUACCGGCAUAAGAAGCACCGGCUAACUACGUGCCAGCAGCCGCGGUAAUACGUAGGGUGCGAGCGUUAAUCGGAAUUACUGGGCGUAAAGCGUGCGCAGGCGGUUUUGUAAGACAGGCGUGAAAUCCCCGGGCUCAACCUGGGAACUGCGUUUGUGACUGCAAAGCUAGAGUACGGCAGAGGGGGGUGGAAUUCCACGUGUAGCAGUGAAAUGCGUAGAGAUGUGGAGGAACACCAAUGGCGAAGGCAGCCCCCUGGGUCGAUACUGACGCUCAUGCACGAAAGCGUGGGUAGCAAACAGGAUUAGAUACCCUGGUAGUCCACGCCCUAAACGAUGUCAACUAGGUGUUGGGUGGGUAAAACCAUUUAGUACCGGAGCUAACGCGUGAAGUUGACCGCCUGGGGAGUACGGCCGCAAGGUUAAAACUCAAAGGAAUUGACGGGGACCCGCACAAGCGGUGGAUGAUGUGGAUUAAUUCGAUGCAACGCGAAAAACCUUACCUACCCUUGACAUGUCCAGAAGCCCGAAGAGAUUUGGGUGUGCCCGAAAGGGAGCUGGAACACAGGUGCUGCAUGGCUGUCGUCAGCUCGUGUCGUGAGAUGUUGGGUUAAGUCCCGCAACGAGCGCAACCCUUGUCGUUAAUUGCCAUCAUUUAGUUGGGCACUUUAACGAGACUGCCGGUGACAAACCGGAGGAAGGUGGGGAUGACGUCAAGUCCUCAUGGCCCUUAUGGGUAGGGCUUCACACGUCAUACAAUGGUCGGUACAAAGGGUUGCCAAGCCGCGAGGUGGAGCUAAUCCCAGAAAGCCGAUCGUAGUCCGGAUCGUAGGCUGCAACUCGCCUGCGUGAAGUCGGAAUCGCUAGUAAUCGUGGAUCAGCAUGUCACGGUGAAUACGUUCCCGGGUCUUGUACACACCGCCCGUCACACCAUGGGAGCGGGUUCCGCCAGAAGUAGGUAGCCUAACCGCAAGGGGGGCGCUUACCACGGCGGGGUUCGUGACUGGGGUGAAGUCGUAACAAGGUA
Molecule: ribosomal RNA, 1426 nt
Filed under: metagenome
Description: bacterial SSU rRNA
Rfam family: Bacterial small subunit ribosomal RNA
Source: RNAcentral